RNAcentral lists this long non-coding RNA (4091 nucleotides) under Homo sapiens (human). Its description in RNAcentral is "HSALNT0124927". The record is from RNAcentral. Lineage: Eukaryota; Metazoa; Chordata; Mammalia; Primates; Hominidae.
CAAGGUGAGGGGAGAUUUUUGCUGAAGGCAGACCAGGGCAGCGUGACCAGAUAUCAAAGCAAAUACAUCAGCACCAGCUGAAGAAGAAAGGGAAGUAGAUAUGGAGCACUGCAAAUUUGCUUCUGCGCAAAAGGAAAAGGCAGCUGAAAAACAGUUUUGGCAAAUUAAAUUGCAAAUGAUUCAGCCCCAUCAAGCUAGUCAAUGAGAAAAAAAAAGGACAAAUUUUUAUUCCGACAUGAAAAUUGCAGAGCCGGAGGAAAAUUGAAGACUAUUAGUUAACAGUUUAAAUGAAUCAAGACAAAUUUUUUUCAGAUAGUUUUCUAACACCUUAUAGUACUUCCAAGUUGACUAAUUGAGUAUUUAUUGACCUAUAAAUUUUAUUUAACUUAAUCUGUAAUUUAAAAUUUUAUUAUUUUAUUUAUUUUAUUAUUUUAUUUUGAGAUGGAGUCUCUCUCUGUCGCCCAGGCUGGAGUACGGUGGCACGAUCUCGGCUCACUGCAACCUCCACCUCCUGGGUUUGAGUGAUUCUUGUGCCUCAGCCUCUGGAGUAGCUGGGACUACAGGUGUACACCACCAUGCCUGUCUAAUUUUUGUAUUUUUCAUAGAGAUGGGGUUUUGUCAUGUUGGCCAGGUUGGUCUUGAACUCCUGACCUCAGGUGAUCUGCCUGCCUCAGCCUCCCAAAGUGCUGGGAUUACAGGUAUUUUCUAUUUUAAAUGCACUUCUUGCUUUUCAUUUGCUAACCUCUAUAUUUCUUAAAAAAAUCCCAUUAGUGGAAGGAUUCAGAUAUUCUCUGCCUUCCAUGUUAUUUUCUUUAUAUUGAGCAAACAGAUUUCGUAAUAAAUACUUAACUGAUAAUCAUAAUAACUAGGACUGACUAUACUAUAAAAUCUUCAAUAUGAGAUUGGGAACUCAUUUUAUCUUGCUAUAUAUCAGUUUCCUAAUUUGUAAAACGAAGAUAGUAAUAACUCACCUUCAUUAUCCUAGAGGAUGUUGGUAAGAUACAAGAGAAACAAAAUGCUUUCAUACGUACAAAUUAAAGCACUCCCCAUGCAAUAGCAAAGUGAUGUGGGUUUUUUUAAUUUGUUUUGUGUUUUUUUCAAAUAUAUUUCCAAAUUUUAAAUCCCUUGGAGCUCUAAGUCACAAAUGGCUCAUUCUUGAAGCCUCCAAUUACUUUUCCAGAUCUCACUGAGCAGUCCUACCUUUGAGCUCUGGCACCAUUCAACACUUAUUAACACUUAAUGUUAAAGAGACAAAUGAUUCACAUUUUUCAAAAGAAAAUAUUUAUAUGAAACUGCAAGUCUUUCGAAAAUAUAUGGCUUGAAUGCUACAAUUAUAAUGUUAAAAUUAUAUUAAAAUGGAAAUGAAUCAAAAAAUCUUCUAAUUAGGGAACUGAGAAUUACAUUAGGGGACCAAUGCUGAAUUACAUUAGAGGACCAAUGUUGAGUGUUUCUAAGGAGGCUGUUUCUAAACCAAGCAACCUGAUGACCAUCUAUGUUAUGUUAAAAGAUUCCAAAGUUAAGGAUAAGGCACAUAUAUAAUUGAUACAGGAGACGGACAGGGAAGUGCUGGGUAGAGAAGAGUGGGGUCACUAGUGAGGGCUCCACCCUUGGGCCUGUGCCCUCGGACGUAAGAGAGAAUAGGCACUCAUGUUUUCAUGUCCACAUGUUGCAUUUUCAAAGACCAUUCUGGCUAACCACACCCCUCAUCCUGUGCCCAUAUAAACCUGAGACCUUAGCGGUCACACAUACAAGUGGCUGAACAUCAAGAAGAGCAGAGGAACAGAGUGGCAGAACAGUGGGGAGGAUCGCCUUCCCACUCCAUCGUCCCUUUCCAGUUCCCCACCCAUCCAGCUGAAAGCCACUUGCACCACUCAGUAAAACCUCACAUUUAGCCUUUGAGUCCGUAUGUGACCCGAUUUUUUCUGGGAAGCUGGACAAGAGCUCGGGACACAGAAACCUGUCACACUUGCCCUCUGUCCUUGCAAAAAGGCAGAGGGUCCAUUGAGCUGAUUAACACAAAAACUGUCUACAGAUGGCAAAGCUGAAAGAGCUUUGUAACAAUGGGGUCGCAGGCACCCACUCCUAGACGCUAGCCGGAGAGCUUGCUCCAGUCUCUGCACCUGCCUGUCUGCAAGCUCCCACUUCCUCAAGGGGUUUGAACUGUGGGGUGACAGAACAGGUGGGCCACACCUCUGUUGCACGUCCUGUGAGGGGAACCAAGGAACUCUCCCAUUUCAUAAUGGUUGUCUAUACCAGUGUUGACUCAUCUUAAAAGCUGAAAAUGUUUGCUAACCCAUAGAGUAUAUGGUAGAUUGUUUUAUUUGUUUAGUGUGCUUCCUUUCUUUCCUUCUUGCCAUGCUUCCCUUUAGGUAAAUUUUUUAAUGGCCUCGAGAUAAACAUGCUCUUAUUCUCGUGUUAUUUGGGAGAAAAUAUGGUCUUUGAAGAGUCAAUUAAGAAUCUUGAGUUUGGGAGAUUAUUUUGGGUAAUCUUGUGUAGAGCCUUAAAUGCCAUGUAUAAGAGGAAGACAGCAGGAGAUUUGAUGUGUACAUACAAAGAAGUCAAUGUGAAGACAAAGACAAAGGCUGGAGUGAUGUGGCCACAAGCCUAGGAAUGCUGACAGCCCUCAGAAACUGAAAGAGGCAAAGAACAGUUUCUUCCCUAAAGCCCCUGGAGGGAUUGCUGCCCAGCCAACAUAUUGAUGUCAGCUCCAGGACACUGAAUUCAGACUUCUGUCCUCUGGAACUGUGGGAGAACAAAUUUCUGUGAUUUUAAGCCAUCCAGUUUGUGGUAAUUUGUUAUGGCAGCUAUAGGAAACUAAUACAGAAACUACACUUUCCUGCUUCAUUGAUUUUGUACUUGGCCCUGUGACUUGCUUUGGCUAAUGGAGUAUGAGCAGAUGUUUAUAGAUGUCAUGUCCCAGCAGAAACUUUAAAUGCUUUUUUUAGCUGCCUGUCUUAUUCCUGUCCUCCUUCAUUAGAACAUAUCCCAGGUAGAGGGAUAUCUGGAAACUUCAGUCUGAGUUUCAGAAAAAGAAACACAUGGAUUGAGGCCCAGCCAAGUGCAAUCAAGCACAACCAAGCCAACAAGUUAAGCCAAGAUUAGAUGAACCUAGCAGAACUACAGCAUAUCUGGGCUGGGCAUGCGGUGGCUCACGCCUGUAAUCUCAGCACUUUGGGAGCCCGAGGAGGGCAGAUCACAAGGUCAGGAGAUCGAGACCAUCCUGGCUAACACAGUGAAACCCGUCUCUACUAAAAAUACAAAAACAAAAUUAGCCGGGCGUGGUGGCGGGCGCCUGUAGUUCCAGCUACUCGGGAGGCUGAGGCAGGAGAAUGGCGUGAACCCAGGAGGUGGAGCUUGCAGUGAGCCGAGAUCUCGCCACUGCACUCCAGCUUGGGCGACAGAGCCAGACUCCGUCUCAAAAAAAAAAAAAAGAACUACAGCCUAUCUGUGGUCCUCAUGUAAUGUGAACAAGAAAUAAAUAUUGUCAUAAAAUAUAAAGAUUUUGGUGUUACCUAUUGCUCCAGCCAAAGGUGAAUAAUAGUACAUAUCAUCAACCGUUGAUGAAUAUUGUACUCCCUCUUUUUGUUUUAAUUUAUUAUUAUUAUUUUUUAAAAUUAUCCUUUAAGUACAGAGAUGUUUUUUCUAAUUAAAUGUUGUCUUUCUGCUGCCAUUCUCUAGUGUAAUGAAUAUUCAGCAUUCUCAAGAUAAUAGGCCCUGAAGUGCUUGAAGGAGAGUAAUAAUCAUUUCCUAGUCUUCCCUUCUUUAUCAUAAUUGACCCCAACUUUAAAAAUAUUCCCCAAUUUUAACAAUGUUUUAUUAUUCUGAUAGUCUGGGAUGGUAAUAUCUCUCUGGAGAUGUGGAAACUCUACUCUUUAUUUACAUUUGUGACCAUAACUAGACAGCUUAGUUUAUAUUCAAAGAUAUCUAAAAGACAACAGAUGAAGCAUUUCUUCACUUAUAGCAUAUACUUUUCUUUCUUCAUUUUUUUUGUUCCAACUUUCAUUUUUCUUUUUCAGAUCUCCACAUUCAACAAUUCUGAUUCUUCCUAAAAUCUAUUUUCUUUUCCUUCAAAAUUUAUUUUUCAAUUUCUG